This 72-nucleotide transfer RNA is filed under the name Marmota marmota marmota (Alpine marmot). It matches the Rfam family "tRNA". Rfam says of the family: Transfer RNA (tRNA) molecules are approximately 80 nucleotides in length. Their secondary structure includes four short double-helical elements and three loops (D, anti-codon, and T loops). The record is from Rfam by way of RNAcentral. Lineage: Eukaryota; Metazoa; Chordata; Mammalia; Rodentia; Sciuridae. RNAcentral also lists the same sequence under 1 other name.
UGGGGUGUGGCUCCAUGGUAGAGCACUUGCCUAGAGUGUGCAAGGCCCUGGGUUCCAUCUCCAGCAUCUCAA